CGAACGGGUGAGUAACACGUUGGUGACCUACCCCAGAGAGGGGAAUAACUAUUGGAAACGAUAGCUAAUACCCCAGAUGUCAUUGUUGUUAGAGUGCAAUGACUAAAAGCUCCGGCGCUCUGGGAGGGGCCUGCGGCCCAUCAGCUAGUUGGUAAGGUAACGGCUUACCAAGGCAAAGACGGGUAGGGGGCGUGAGAGCGUGACCCCCCACACUGGUACUGACACACGGACCAGAUACCUACGGGUAGCAGCAGCAAGGAAUAUUGCCCAAUGGACGAAAGUCUGAGGCAGCAACGCCGCGUGGAGGAUGAAGGCCUUCGGGUUGUAAACUCCUUUUCUGGGGGAAGAGAAAGGACGGUACCCCAGGAAUAAGUCUCGGCUAACUACGUGCCAGCAGCCGCGGUAAAACGUAGGAGGCGAGCGUUAUCCGGAUUUACUGGGCGUAAAGCGCGUGCAGGCGGUUUUCUAAGUCGGACGUGAAAGCUCUCGGCUCAACUGGGAGAGGUCGUUCGAAACUAGGAAACUUGAGGGUGGUAGAGGAGAGUGGAAUUCCCGGUGUAGUGGUGAAAUGCGUAGAUAUCGGGAGGAACACCAGUGGCGAAGGCGGCUCUCUGGGCCAUUCCUGACGCUAAGACGCGAAAGCUAGGGGAGAGAACGGGAUUAGAAACUCCGGUAUUCCUAGCUGUAAACGAUGUCAACUAGUGUAGGGGGUAUCCAACCCCCCUGUGCUGUAGCUAACGCGUUAAGUUGACCGCCUGGGGACUACGGCCGCAAGGCUAAAACUCAAAGGAAUUGACGGGG
RNAcentral lists this ribosomal RNA (801 nucleotides) under uncultured bacterium. RNAcentral's name for it is "bacterial SSU rRNA". It matches the Rfam family "Bacterial small subunit ribosomal RNA", at positions 99 to 918 of the family's 1533-position model. The record is from RNAcentral.